This 267-nucleotide ribosomal RNA is filed under the name Scopula ternata. RNAcentral's name for it is "partial 28S ribosomal RNA". It matches the Rfam family "Eukaryotic large subunit ribosomal RNA", at positions 106 to 354 of the family's 3401-position model. Lineage: Eukaryota; Metazoa; Arthropoda; Insecta; Lepidoptera; Geometridae. The record is from RNAcentral.
AGCCCAGCACUGAAUCCCGCCGUUGUAACGGCGGCGGGAGAUGUGGUGUUCGGGAGGUUCCGCUUUCUCGUCGUCGUCUUCUCCUGUCCAAGUUCGUCUUGAACGGGGCCGUUUUCCCGUAGAGGGUGCCAGGCCCGUAGCGACGGAGGAUGGCGGCGAGAGGGACUCUCCUCAGAGUCGGGUUGCUUGAGAGUGCAGCCCUAAGUGGGUGGUAAACUCCAUCUAAGGCUAAAUAUUACCGCGAGACCGAUAGCGAACAAGUACCGU